AACCUGGUUGAUCCUGCCAGUAGUCAUAUGCUUGUCUCAAAGACUAAGCCAUGCAUGUCUAAGUAUAAGUAUUAUACAGCGAAACUGCGAAUGGCUCAUUAAAACAGUUAUAGUUUAUUUGAU
Molecule: ribosomal RNA, 123 nt
Filed under: uncultured marine eukaryote
Lineage: Eukaryota
Description: partial 18S ribosomal RNA
Rfam family: Eukaryotic small subunit ribosomal RNA
Source: RNAcentral